UAGGGAAUUUUUCACAAUGAGCGAAAGCUUGAUGGAGCAAUGCCGCGUGAACGAUGAAGGUCUUUAAGAUUGUAAAGUUCUUUUAUUUGGGAAGAAUGACUUUAGCAGGCAAUGGCUAGAGUUUGACUGUACCAUUUUGAAUAAGUGACGACUAACUAUGUGCCAGCAGUCGCGGUAAUACAUAGGUCGCAAGCGUUAUCCGGAUUUAUUGGGCGUAAAGCAAGCGCAGGCGGAUUGAAAAGUCUGGUGUUAAAGGCAGCUGCUUAACAGUUGUAUGCAUUGGAAACUAUUAAUCUAGAGUGUGGUAGGGAGUUUUGGAAUUUCAUGUGGAGCGGUGAAAUGCGUAGAUAUAUGAAGGAACACCAGUGGCGAAGGCGAAAACUUAGGCCAUUACUGACGCUUAGGCUUGAAAGUGUGGGGAGCAAAUAGGAUUAGAUACCCUAGUAGUCCACACCGUAACGAUAGAUACUAGCUGUCGGGGCGAUCCCCUCGGUAGUGAAGUUAACACAUUAAGUAUCUCGCCUGGGUAGUACAUUCGCAAGAAU
This 545-nucleotide ribosomal RNA is filed under the name uncultured bacterium. RNAcentral describes it as "bacterial SSU rRNA". It matches the Rfam family "Bacterial small subunit ribosomal RNA", at positions 355 to 895 of the family's 1533-position model. The record is from RNAcentral.